Molecule: ribosomal RNA, 299 nt
Filed under: Bacillus sp. BC1_NA2D4
Lineage: Bacteria; Bacillati; Bacillota; Bacilli; Caryophanales; Bacillaceae
Description: partial 16S ribosomal RNA
Rfam family: Bacterial small subunit ribosomal RNA
Source: RNAcentral
AGAUGUUGGGUUAAGUCCCGCAACGAGCGCAACCCUUGAUCUUAGUUGCCAGCAUUUAGUUGGGCACUCUAAGGUGACUGCCGGUGACAAACCGGAGGAAGGUGGGGAUGACGUCAAAUCAUCAUGCCCCUUAUGACCUGGGCUACACACGUGCUACAAUGGACAGAACAAAGGGCUGCGAGACCGCAAGGUUUAGCCAAUCCCAUAAAUCUGUUCUCAGUUCGGAUCGCAGUCUGCAACUCGACUGCGUGAAGCUGGAAUCGCUAGUAAUCGCGGAUCAGCAUGCCGCGGUGAAUACG